UACGUAGGGUGCAAGCGUUGUCCGGAAUUAUUGGGCGUAAAGAGCUCGUAGGUGGCCUGUCGCGUCGGCUGUGAAAACUCGGGGCUCAACUCCGAGCUUGCAGUCGAUACGGGCAGGCUAGAGUUCGGCAGGGGAGACUGGAAUUCCGUGGUGAGCGGUGAAAUGCGCAGAUAUCAGGAGGAACACCGGUGGCGAAGGCGGGUCUCUGGGCCGAUACUGACACUGAGGAGCGAAAGCGUGGGGAGCGAACAGG
Molecule: ribosomal RNA, 253 nt
Filed under: uncultured bacterium
Lineage: Bacteria
Description: partial 16S ribosomal RNA
Rfam family: Bacterial small subunit ribosomal RNA
Source: RNAcentral